Molecule: non-coding RNA, 24 nt
Filed under: Arabidopsis thaliana (thale cress)
Lineage: Eukaryota; Viridiplantae; Streptophyta; Magnoliopsida; Brassicales; Brassicaceae
Source: RNAcentral
AGGACCCGAAUGCACUGCCUUCCU